This 253-nucleotide ribosomal RNA is filed under the name uncultured bacterium. RNAcentral's name for it is "partial 16S ribosomal RNA". It matches the Rfam family "Bacterial small subunit ribosomal RNA", at positions 524 to 776 of the family's 1533-position model. The record is from RNAcentral.
UACGGGGGGGGCAAGCGUUGUUCGGAAUUACUGGGCGUAAAGGGUGCGUAGGCGGCUGUCUAAGCAGGGUGUGAAAGCCCCCGGCUCAACCGGGGAAUUGCGUUCUGAACUGGACGGCUGGAGUGGGAUAGGGGUGUGUGGAACUUCCGGUGGAGCGGUGAAAUGUGUUGAUAUCGGAAGGAACGCCGGUGGCGAAAGCGACACACUGGGUCUCAACUGACGCUGAGGCACGAAAGCCAGGGGAGCGAACGGG